AGCCGUAUGGUCUAGUUGGUAAAAGAUUCCGACCUGAAAUUACAUUAUUUUAUACGGAGAUCCUAGGUUCAAAUCCUAGUACGGCUA
This 87-nucleotide transfer RNA is filed under the name Gomphillus americanus. It matches the Rfam family "tRNA". From Rfam's summary of the family: Transfer RNA (tRNA) molecules are approximately 80 nucleotides in length. The record is from Rfam by way of RNAcentral. Lineage: Eukaryota; Fungi; Ascomycota; Lecanoromycetes; Ostropales; Graphidaceae.